UGGAAAUGGGACAACUACAUUUGUCAUCCCUGCGUAUAAUAAAUGUUUGUAUGUAUUUACUACAGAAUGUAAUCUAGUUCAUGCGUCUGAUGAUCGCCAAAGUUCAAGAAAUCAUGACUUAAUACACAUCGCACGAUUUUUAACACUAAACUGUUAGAUAGUCAUCCCGUUCUGUGAAAAGAAAAGUGUAAAUUGAAACCGGAUAUCUUACGUUAGUUUUACUCCUCAUAUUUAUAACUGUUGAUAUUUGAAGGGACCUGAAUAUUAUUGAUUUUAUGAGAAAAUGCUCGUUCUUUAAAACUUGUGUAUAUAUACAUACUUUAAUGCAGACAAGGCUAUGCAACUUUCCAUUUCUGUUAUACGUGCUUGAUUAGCAUGAUAAAACGAACGGACUCUUGUCAAACUAUAUAUUGUAAGAUCAGCAACGUGCAAGCGGAUCUAGCGUGAAAAUUAAAUUACCGACCAGCGGUUAGAAAUUUUAAUUAAUAAAUCAGAAGGGGACUGAACUCUAAAAAAUUGCGACACUUUACAAGCGAAAUUAAAAGAGUAAGUUCUCUGCAUUUAUUCAUAGCUAGUUAGCUAAGCUAGGAAAUUGAUAAUUAUCAUAAAAAACCCAAAAAGUUUUUCAAACAUCGUUCACGCACGGUAAUCCCACGAUUAGAAUGAGUUUGCGUCUAUCAUCGGACCGUUUAUACGAAUCACUUGACUCAGAGAAACGUUCUAGAAGAGUAGGUCAGUGUAACAAUAUAAAAAAAUAAGAAAUGCACAAGGCAAAAACUUUGCCAUUUCGGUAUUCAUUUGCAACAACCACGACAUGUCAAAAAUGCUCAUCCAUGAUGCAAAUUCUGUUAUAAAACUAUUGUAUAUAAUUUAGCAUUGCCAAGUAGCUCAAAUUGUAAAUGAGAAUGGAAUUAUUAGCAUCAGUGCAACCGUGUCUGUGCAGCUGCAUCAUCGGUAACACACUUAUGGCACCAAGGAAAAUGUGCAUAUGUAAAUAUAUUAGCGAACACCAAUUAUAUUUCAUGGGAUGAGUUCAUUUGUUGCGUAAAGGAAUGCACCUCUCGCAAAUAAAAACACAAAU
Long non-coding RNA from Folsomia candida, 1081 nucleotides. RefSeq lists it as uncharacterized. NCBI's taxonomy places the organism in Eukaryota, Metazoa, Arthropoda, Collembola, Entomobryomorpha, Isotomidae. The transcript has 3 exons. The record is from RefSeq and is a predicted model, not a curated record.